This 467-nucleotide ribosomal RNA is filed under the name uncultured bacterium. RNAcentral describes it as "partial 16S ribosomal RNA". It matches the Rfam family "Bacterial small subunit ribosomal RNA", at positions 28 to 506 of the family's 1533-position model. The record is from RNAcentral.
GAUGAACGCUGGCGGCGUGCUUAACACAUGCAAGUCGAACGGAAAGGCCCAAGCUUGCUUGGGUACUCGAGUGGCGAACGGGUGAGUAACACGUGGGUGAUCUGCCCUGCACUUCGGGAUAAGCCUGGGAAACUGGGUCUAAUACCGGAUAGGACGAUGGUUUGGAUGCCAUUGUGGAAAGUUUUUUCGGUGUGGGAUGAGCUCGCGGCCUAUCAGCUUGUUGGUGGGGUAAUGGCCUACCAAGGCGUCGACGGGUAGCCGGCCUGAGAGGGUGUACGGCCACAUUGGGACUGAGAUACGGCCCAGACUCCUACGGGAGGCAGCAGUGGGGAAUAUUGCACAAUGGGCGCAGGCCUGAUGCAGCGACGCCGCGUGGGGGAUGACGGCCUUCGGGUUGUAAACUCCUUUCGCUAGGGACGAAGCGUUUUUGUGACGGUACCUGGAGAAGAAGCACCGGCUAACUACGU